RNAcentral lists this ribosomal RNA (2925 nucleotides) under Escherichia coli. RNAcentral describes it as "bacterial LSU rRNA". It matches the Rfam family "Bacterial large subunit ribosomal RNA". Lineage: Bacteria; Pseudomonadati; Pseudomonadota; Gammaproteobacteria; Enterobacterales; Enterobacteriaceae. The record is from RNAcentral.
GGGUUGUGAGGUUAAGCGACUAAGCGUACACGGUGGAUGCCCUGGCAGUCAGAGGCGAUGAAGGACGUGCUAAUCUGCGAUAAGCGUCGGUAAGGUGAUAUGAACCGUUAUAACCGGCGAUUUCCGAAUGGGGAAACCCAGUGUGAUUCGUCACACUAUCAUUAACUGAAUCCAUAGGUUAAUGAGGCGAACCGGGGGAACUGAAACAUCUAAGUACCCCGAGGAAAAGAAAUCAACCGAGAUUCCCCCAGUAGCGGCGAGCGAACGGGGAGCAGCCCAGAGCCUGAAUCAGUGUGUGUGUUAGUGGAAGCGUCUGGAAAGGCGCGCGAUACAGGGUGACAGCCCCGUACACAAAAAUGCACAUGCUGUGAGCUCGAUGAGUAGGGCGGGACACGUGGUAUCCUGUCUGAAUAUGGGGGGACCAUCCUCCAAGGCUAAAUACUCCUGACUGACCGAUAGUGAACCAGUACCGUGAGGGAAAGGCGAAAAGAACCCCGGCGAGGGGAGUGAAAAAGAACCUGAAACCGUGUACGUACAAGCAGUGGGAGCACGCUUAGGCGUGUGACUGCGUACCUUUUGUAUAAUGGGUCAGCGACUUAUAUUCUGUAGCAAGGUUAACCGAAUAGGGGAGCCGAAGGGAAACCGAGUCUUAACUGGGCGUUAAGUUGCAGGGUAUAGACCCGAAACCCGGUGAUCUAGCCAUGGGCAGGUUGAAGGUUGGGUAACACUAACUGGAGGACCGAACCGACUAAUGUUGAAAAAUUAGCGGAUGACUUGUGGCUGGGGGUGAAAGGCCAAUCAAACCGGGAGAUAGCUGGUUCUCCCCGAAAGCUAUUUAGGUAGCGCCUCGUGAAUUCAUCUCCGGGGGUAGAGCACUGUUUCGGCAAGGGGGUCAUCCCGACUUACCAACCCGAUGCAAACUGCGAAUACCGGAGAAUGUUAUCACGGGAGACACACGGCGGGUGCUAACGUCCGUCGUGAAGAGGGAAACAACCCAGACCGCCAGCUAAGGUCCCAAAGUCAUGGUUAAGUGGGAAACGAUGUGGGAAGGCCCAGACAGCCAGGAUGUUGGCUUAGAAGCAGCCAUCAUUUAAAGAAAGCGUAAUAGCUCACUGGUCGAGUCGGCCUGCGCGGAAGAUGUAACGGGGCUAAACCAUGCACCGAAGCUGCGGCAGCGACGCUUAUGCGUUGUUGGGUAGGGGAGCGUUCUGUAAGCCUGUGAAGGUGUGCUGUGAGGCAUGCUGGAGGUAUCAGAAGUGCGAAUGCUGACAUAAGUAACGAUAAAGCGGGUGAAAAGCCCGCUCGCCGGAAGACCAAGGGUUCCUGUCCAACGUUAAUCGGGGCAGGGUGAGUCGACCCCUAAGGCGAGGCCGAAAGGCGUAGUCGAUGGGAAACAGGUUAAUAUUCCUGUACUUGGUGUUACUGCGAAGGGGGGACGGAGAAGGCUAUGUUGGCCGGGCGACGGUUGUCCCGGUUUAAGCGUGUAGGCUGGUUUUCCAGGCAAAUCCGGAAAAUCAAGGCUGAGGCGUGAUGACGAGGCACUACGGUGCUGAAGUAACAAAUGCCCUGCUUCCAGGAAAAGCCUCUAAGCAUCAGGUAACAUCAAAUCGUACCCCAAACCGACACAGGUGGUCAGGUAGAGAAUACCAAGGCGCUUGAGAGAACUCGGGUGAAGGAACUAGGCAAAAUGGUGCCGUAACUUCGGGAGAAGGCACGCUGAUAUGUAGGUGAAGCGACUUGCUCGUGGAGCUGAAAUCAGUCGAAGAUACCAGCUGGCUGCAACUGUUUAUUAAAAACACAGCACUGUGCAAACACGAAAGUGGACGUAUACGGUGUGACGCCUGCCCGGUGCCGGAAGGUUAAUUGAUGGGGUCAGCGCAAGCGAAGCUCUUGAUCGAAGCCCCGGUAAACGGCGGCCGUAACUAUAACGGUCCUAAGGUAGCGAAAUUCCUUGUCGGGUAAGUUCCGACCUGCACGAAUGGCGUAAUGAUGGCCAGGCUGUCUCCACCCGAGACUCAGUGAAAUUGAACUCGCUGUGAAGAUGCAGUGUACCCGCGGCAAGACGGAAAGACCCCGUGAACCUUUACUAUAGCUUGACACUGAACAUUGAGCCUUGAUGUGUAGGAUAGGUGGGAGGCUUGGAAGUGUGGACGCCAGUCUGCAUGGAGCCGACCUUGAAAUACCACCCUUUAAUGUUUGAUGUUCUAACGUUGACCCGUAAUCCGGGUUGCGGACAGUGUCUGGUGGGUAGUUUGACUGGGGCGGUCUCCUCCUAAAGAGUAACGGAGGAGCACGAAGGUUGGCUAAUCCUGGUCGGACAUCAGGAGGUUAGUGCAAUGGCAUAAGCCAGCUUGACUGCGAGCGUGACGGCGCGAGCAGGUGCGAAAGCAGGUCAUAGUGAUCCGGUGGUUCUGAAUGGAAGGGCCAUCGCUCAACGGAUAAAAGGUACUCCGGGGAUAACAGGCUGAUACCGCCCAAGAGUUCAUAUCGACGGCGGUGUUUGGCACCUCGAUGUCGGCUCAUCACAUCCUGGGGCUGAAGUAGGUCCCAAGGGUAUGGCUGUUCGCCAUUUAAAGUGGUACGCGAGCUGGGUUUAGAACGUCGUGAGACAGUUCGGUCCCUAUCUGCCGUGGGCGCUGGAGAACUGAGGGGGGCUGCUCCUAGUACGAGAGGACCGGAGUGGACGCAUCACUGGUGUUCGGGUUGUCAUGCCAAUGGCACUGCCCGGUAGCUAAAUGCGGAAGAGAUAAGUGCUGAAAGCAUCUAAGCACGAAACUUGCCCCGAGAUGAGUUCUCCCUGACUCCUUGAGAGUCCUGAAGGAACGUUGAAGACGACGACGUUGAUAGGCCGGGUGUGUAAGCGCAGCGAUGCGUUGAGCUAACCGGUACUAAUGAACCGUGAGGCUUAACCUUACAACGCCGAAG